This 919-nucleotide ribosomal RNA is filed under the name uncultured Thermoplasmatales archaeon. Its description in RNAcentral is "bacterial SSU rRNA". It matches the Rfam family "Archaeal small subunit ribosomal RNA", at positions 1 to 923 of the family's 1478-position model. Lineage: Archaea; Methanobacteriati; Thermoplasmatota; Thermoplasmata; Thermoplasmatales. The record is from RNAcentral.
UUCCGGUUGAUCCUGCCGGAGGUCACUGCUAUUGGGAUUCGAUUAAGCCAUGCGAGUCGAGAGGGUUCGGCCCUCGGCGGACUGCUCAGUAACACGUGGAUAAUCUGCCCUUAGGUGGAGCAUAACCUCGGGAAACUGAGAAUAAUACUCCAUAGGUCUAGGAUGCUGGAAUGCGCCUAGGACUCAAAGAUUUAUCGCCUAAGGAUGAGUCUGCGGACUAUCAGGUUGUAGUCAGGAUAAAGGCCUGACUAGCCUACGACGGAUACGGGUUGUGAGAGCAAUAACCCGGAGGAUGAUAUCUGAGACACGAUAUCGGGCCCUACGGGGCGCAGCAGGCGCGAAACCUUCACACUGUGCGAAAGCGCGAUGAGGGGAUCCCAAGUGCUUGCUCUUAGGAGUAAGCUGUUUUCCUGUCUAAAUCGCAGGAAGAGGAAGGGCUGGGUAAGACGGGUGCCAGCCGCCGCGGUAAUACCUGCAGCUCAAGUGGUGACCGCUAUUAUUGGGCCUAAAACGUCCGUAGCCGGCUGAGUAAAUGCCUGGGUAAAUCGUGUCGCUUAACGAUACGAAUUCCGGGUAGACUGCUUAGCUUGAGACUGGGAGAAGCUAGAGGUACUCCUGGGGUAGAGGUGAAAUUCUGUAAUCCUGGGGGGACCACCAGUGGCGAAAGCGUCUAGCUAGAACGGGUCUGACGGUGAGGGACGAAACCCUGGGGCGCGAACCGGAUUAGAUACCCGGGUAGUCCAGGGCGCAAACGCUGCUUGCUUGAUGUUAGUUGGGCUCCGAGCUCAAGCUAGUGUCGGAGAGAAGUUGUUAAGCAAGCUGCCUGGGAAGUACGAUCGCGAGAUUGAAACUUAAAGGAAUUGGCGGGGGAGCACAGCAACGGGAGGAGCGUGCGGUUUAAUUGGAUUCAACGCCGGGA